CCUACGGGAGGCAGCAGUAAGGAAUAUUGGUCAAUGGACGCAAGUCUGAACCAGCCAUGCCGCGUGCAGGAUGACGGCCCUCUGGGUUGUAAACUGCUUUUAUCUGGGACGAAAAACGGGCUUUCUAGCUCACUUGACGGUACCAGAGGAAUAAGCACCGGCUAACUCCGUGCCAGCAGCCGCGGUAAUACGGAGGGUGCAAGCGUUAUCCGGAUUUACUGGGUUUAAAGGGUGCGUAGGUGGGCAGGUAAGUCAGUGGUGAAAUCUUCAAGCUUAACUUGGAAACUGCCAUUGAUACUAUUUGUCUUGAAUAUCCCGGAGGUAAGCGGAAUAUGUCAUGUAGCGGUGAAAUGCUUAGAUAUGACAUAGAACACCCAUUGCGAAGGCAGCUUACUACAGGAUUAUUGACACUGAGGCACGAAAGCGUGGGGAUCAAACAGGAUUAGAUACCCUGGUAG
RNAcentral lists this ribosomal RNA (458 nucleotides) under uncultured bacterium. Its description in RNAcentral is "bacterial SSU rRNA". It matches the Rfam family "Bacterial small subunit ribosomal RNA", at positions 338 to 793 of the family's 1533-position model. The record is from RNAcentral.